CCUACGGGAGGCUGCAGUGGGGAAUAUUGGGCAAUGGGCGCAAGCCUGACCCAGCAACGCCGCGUGAAGGAAGAAGGCUUUCGGGUUGUAAACUUCUUUUCUCAGGGACGAAGAAAGUGACGGUACCUGAGGAAUAAGCCACGGCUAACUACGUGCCAGCAGCCGCGGGAAUACGUAGGUGGCAAGCGUUAUCCGGAUUUACUGGGUGUAAAGGGCGUGUAGGCGGGAAAGCAAGUCAGAUGUGAAAACCAUGGGCUCAACCUGUGGCCUGCAUUUGAAACUGUUUUUCUUGAGUACUGGAGAGGCAGACGGAAUUCCUCGUGUAGCGGUGAAAUGCGUAGAUAUGAGGAGGAACACCAGUGGCGAAGGCGGUCUGCUGGACAGCAACUGACGCUGAGGCGCGAAAGCGUGGGGAGCAAACAGGAUUAGAUACCCCUGUAGUC
RNAcentral lists this ribosomal RNA (443 nucleotides) under uncultured bacterium. RNAcentral's name for it is "partial 16S ribosomal RNA". It matches the Rfam family "Bacterial small subunit ribosomal RNA", at positions 338 to 795 of the family's 1533-position model. The record is from RNAcentral.